RNAcentral lists this ribosomal RNA (806 nucleotides) under uncultured bacterium. Its description in RNAcentral is "bacterial SSU rRNA". It matches the Rfam family "Bacterial small subunit ribosomal RNA", at positions 1 to 807 of the family's 1533-position model. The record is from RNAcentral.
GAAUUCGCCCUUAGAGUUUGAUCCUGGCUCAGGACUAACGCUGGCGGCGUGCCUAAUACAUGCAAGUCGAACGGUCGUGCGUUUGUAGCAAUAUGGACGUACGAUAGUGGCGAACGGGUGAGUAACACGUGGAAAACCUACCCUCGAGCGGGGGAUAACUCCGGGAAACUGGGGCUAAUACCGCAUAACAUCCCAACCUGGCAUCGGGAGGGGAUCAAAGCCGAAAGGCACUUGAGGAUGGUUCCGCGGCCUAUCAGCUAGCUGGCGGGGUAACGGCCCACCAAGGCGACGACGGGUAGCCGGCCUGAGAGGGCGAUCGGCCACAAGGGGACUGAGACACGGCCCCUACUCCUACGGGAGGCAGCAGUAGGGAAUUUUGCUCAAUGGGGGAAACCCUGAAGCAGCGACGCCGCGUGGGCGACGAAAUCCUUCGGGAUGUAAAGCCCUUUUAACCGGGACGAAAUACAUGACGGUACCGGUGGAAUAAGCCUCGGCUAACUCCGUGCCAGCAGCCGCGGUAAGACGGGGGAGGCAAGCGUUGUCCGGAAUCACUGGGUGUAAAGGGCGUGUAGGCGGGCCGGCUAGUCGGUUGUUAAAUCUCUCCGCUCAACGGAGAAGCUGCGGCCGAUACUUCCGGUCUUGAGUGCGGCAGGGGAGGAUGGAAUUCCUGGUGUAGCGGUGAAAUGCGUAGAUAUCAGGAGGAACACCGGUGGCGAAGGCGGUCCCCUGGGCCUGCACUGACGCUGAGUGCGCGAAAGCUGGGGUAGCAAACAGAAUUAGAUACUCUGGUAGUCCCAGCCCUAAAC